RNAcentral lists this long non-coding RNA (14125 nucleotides) under Arabidopsis lyrata. Its description in RNAcentral is "long non-coding RNA (ALYR_LNC001273)". Lineage: Eukaryota; Viridiplantae; Streptophyta; Magnoliopsida; Brassicales; Brassicaceae. The record is from RNAcentral.
CUCUCUCUCAGGACUAGACCUAGCCGCCGCUCUCUCAAGUUUACAAGUUUGCCCAGAUCGGUGACCGGAGUACGGUGGCUCCUCUAGCACCGGCUUCGGUCCUCCUUUUGUUCUUUCCUUUCUUGGUUUUAGUUUUGUGUUAAUUAAAAGAAUCUUGUGGCCUUCGAUUGGGGUUUCGAUUUAGUUUGAUCGGUUUGUGAUUUUGGGUGUUUGUCGGAAGCGGUUUGAGUGUUUCAGAUUUGUGGUUCAGGGCUCUUGCGAAGAUGAUGGAGCCGGAUCUGAGAUCGACGGUGACGAGUAUGUAAUAAAGCCAUUGCUUUUCGCCUUCCCCAAAUCCAGAUCUGUUACUCGCUCUUGUGCUUCAUGGUGUUUUGAUGUCGCGUGCUUGGCUUGUGUGAGCUCUGUAGUUAGCUUUCAUCUUGCCUUAGCCUCUCCGCUCACCCUUAUUGCCUGGUUUAGCUAAUAGUUGCUCGUUUGGUUCGUCUCCUUUCUAAGAUAAGGCCUUUGUUGUGUGAAGUUAUGCUAGUGUCGUUUGGCUUCAGAUCUUUCUUCUCUUAGGUGGAAGUUACUGGUGAUGAUUUCCGUUGUAGAUGAGUGUCGUUUUUUUUCUUGAUUUCGAAGCUCAUCGAGGUGGUUAUGUUUCGCUCCUUGUCUCUGCGUUUCCGAAUCAGGAGGAUGUCGGAUUGCAUCUUUUUGACUUCUAUCAAGGCGUUCUUUGACGCACCCUCGUCGCAGCCGCAUUUGGAAGUGUUUAAUGAGGAUCUAUUUGGACCUUUACUUGUCAGAUUAUGAAGUCAUUGUUACUUGGUUUCGAGAGAUCUUCUCUCAUUGUGAUAGGAGGAAGCAGUUGUGAUUAAUGGUUGGCCUUGGGCAGCAUUGAUAUAGCUCAUUCGCAGAAACUUCAGAAGAAGAAGAUCGAUUUGGUUAUUUUGACUUAGUGUUUAUCUUCUUGUUUAUUUUUAGUUUGCCUCUUUUCUUAGUUUUUGGUUUCGUUCUCUUUCGAUUUCGGCUUUAAAAGUUUAUGUUGUUUUUAGCGUAGACUUAGAUUUUGGGGAAUUCUCUUUUUUCUCCGACUUUGUCUUCGGGGACUUUUCCUUUGUCCGCCGGCUUAGCUUCCCUCUUUUGGGCUUUAGACUCCGGGGAUAUCUUUGUUUUCCGCCGGCUUAAGUAUUUCACCUUGCUCGAAAUCUUACAUUUUUCCUACUUAACUAAUAGAUAACCUACCCAAGUUAAAUGUCUUAACCACAUUUAUCUAUACAAAACAGACAAGCUACAUCCUUGGAUAAAAAAAAUAACAAGCCACAACUUUUAAACAACAUAUACAAAUUCUCUCUUUAUGGUUGUACUUGUAUAGUCAUAGAUUUUAUUAGACCAAGAUGAUUGAAAAUUGUAGAUAAAAGGCCUUUUGAAAUACUUAAACUUUGUUAUCAUCAGAGUCGUUAUUGAUAGCAAUUUUGGCAAAUGAAAACUCAGGUUUAUAGUGAGGAGUACGGUUUCCUUGAACCACCUUUCAUUAGACUUGUAGAAGAAGCACAUGAUCCAGCUUCCUUCUUCUUUUCACCCAUCUAAUUCUGGAUUUCUUCUUCGACAUGUAAUAUAUUCAUUUAUUCAAAGUUUAAAUAUUGUCAAACCAAAGCUACUUUUACUUAGUCCAUUUAAAUAGAAUCUUAUUAGGGAAUUUAAAUUGUUACGUUAGUAACGCAACGGAAGAGAAAAACUUAGGAUACCUGGACUUAUCAGCAAUUUCAAUGGACUUAUAAAAAGCCAUUUGAAUUUGAGAUAUUUUUUUUGUUAUAGAUAAACAAAUUACCUAAAACUAACCAAUCCAAGUUAAUGUGAACAUGGCUUACAUGAUAAUAAAAGAUUGUUAAUAUAUAUAGUAUAAUCUGAAAACUAAGCAAUCCAAGUUAUACAAUCAUGUUUUUAAAGUAACAGAUGGUCAAUCCAAAAAAAUUUCCUAAUCAGAUUGUAUUCAUCGAUGGUAUAUAUAUUUUUUUUUUCAUCGAUGGUAUUUACAGGCCAUGGAUUAACACCAAUUCAUUAAACUGUACAACAAAUUACGACUUAUUUAGAAUGGUAAGUUCUAUAUAUUUACCCAUCAAUUUAACAACCUUAUCUUCUUCUGCGGGUGAAUAAUGUUAAAUUGAUAGAUAUCUCCAUAAAAGAAAUAUAUUUAUGAACUUUCGCAUGUGACUUGAUCUGAUCUGUGAAACGUUGCCCACGUGUAUUGUUUAGGUAUUCGUACUAUAUUGAGAAAGGGGUCGCAUAUGUAUAAGUCAAGCAAAGCUAUGGGUCAAGUCAUAUUAUUUUAUGUUGCGAAAGGAAAUGUGAAUGUGAACAUGACUUACAUGAUAAUAAUGGUGAUACAUUUAUAAUAAUUUUAUUUAUUAGCUAAAUAAACCAAGUAGUUGGAACGUUGCUUCCAUGACUUCUUUUAUCUGACGACGACUUCAACCAAAUUUCCCCAUUUUCAAUAAUCCUAUACAGAACUUAUCUUUAUAUUAACUUCUUCUGGACUUUUAAAUUCAAGAUAUUUAUCUGUAGAUUCGAUCGUGCUUCCAGCUUUAAUAAAUAAAUAGUUUUGACGUCCUGAUUUUUCCUAAUAAGGUAAAAAAAAAAAAUCCAUCGUCCUUGCUCGCGAUCUUACAUUUUUCCUACUUAACUAUUCCCUCCGUUUCAGUUUAGUUGUCGUUUUAGGAUUUAAAUUUUGUUUCAUAAUAGUUGUCGUUUUAGGUUUUCAAUGCAAAUAUUUGGUAAAAAUUCCAGUUUUAUCCCUACAGUUUUAAUGUUUUGGCCAAUGAAAUUUUUUAUAAAAUAUAUUAAUAAAGAGUAAAACAGAAAAUUUAAUACUUUCUUAAUUUGUGUGAAAAAACCUUAAACGACAACUAAAACGAAACGGAGGGAGUAAUAGAUAACCUACCCAAGUUAAAUUUCUUAACCACAUUUAUCUAUACAAAACAGACAAGCUACAUCCUUGGAUAAAAAAAUAACUAGCCACAACUUUUAAACAACAUAUACAAAUUCUCUCUUUAUGGUCAUAUAGAUUUUAUUAGACCAAGAUGAUUGAAAAUUGUAGCGCCCUUUUAAGUAGAUAAAAGGCCUUUUGAAAUGCUUAAACUUUGUUAUCAUCAGAGUCGUUAUUGAUAGCAAUUUUGGCAAAUGAAAACUCAGGUUUAGUGAGGACUACGGUUUUCUUGAACCACCUUUCAUUAGACUUGUAGAAGAAGCACAUGAUCCAGCUUCCUUCUUCUUUUCACCCAUCUAAUUCUGGAUUUCUUCUUCGACAUGUAAUAUAUUCAUUUAUACAAAGUUUAAAUAUUGUCCAACCAAAGCUACUUUUACUUAGUCCAUUUAAAUAAAAUCUUAUUAGGGAAUUUAAAUUGUUACGUUAGUAACGCAACGGAAGAGAAAAACUUAGGAUACCUGGACUUAUCAGCAAUUUCAAUGGACUUAUAAAAAGCCAUUUGAAUUUGAGAUAUUUUUUUUGUUAUAGAUGAACAAAUUACCUUUAGGAGUUAUAAAAAAACAAUGACUAAUAGGCUUUUUAUUUUUUAUUGGGCUUUUGCAUAUAUCUAUGUUUACCAAUACUUUCCAGCCCAUGCAUUAAUUGUUUCUUCAAUAGAAAAAUGUUUUACUACUUUGGGUUUUUGGAGCUAAGUAUAGCUGUAUAGGCCAUUCCACGGUCGAUCGAUAACUUCCCAGCAAUUUGAACCAGUUCGCAUGUUACCCGACCUAGCUCGUUUGCACUCUAUAUAAGCUUUUCUCAUUUCAGACCUUUUCAAUCAAUCUUGCUCCUCUGCUUCUCCGCUCUACGAAAUCAUGCUCGGCAUUAGCUACGGUUGGACCAUUUUUAUACGGAGCACAAUGCAUUUUCCCCUACAGCAUUUCACAACGCUCACCUAAGCACUUCUCAUGAGGUAAAACGUACAUGUGUGAAGAUAACAAAUUUGAAUGAAGGAUAAAAAAAAAUUAAGCAAAAUAAAAUUGUGGGGAGUGUCUUUCCUCAAAUGGUUAAAGGUCCACAUUCUUCCUAUUGAAAAUUCGACUCCAAUAAAUCACGUUACUCCGCGUAUUAGGGAUUAAGUUAUUGGUUGGGUAUUCUCGACCCAAAUAACAGAAAGAAAAAAAAAAAAAGGUAAAAUUGUUUUACCAUGGCAUACCAUAAAUCUCCUCAUCGGAUCCGGUCCAUAUUUUGUUUCUCAAAAAAAUAGUACCAAUAAUGUUAGGCAAUGGGUCGAUAUAAUGUCAUUUUCAGUGGGAAUUGAUUUAAGAGCAUGGCCACAUGCUACUUUAAUCAUAUCUUUAAGAGGGAAAUAAUGAAGAAAAUAGAAUUGAUGGGUCCAAGUUUCAUGUGACUGGAGAAGAAUGAAGGAGCGCAAGAAGGAUCAUAGAAAAGAAAUAGUCUGGCUGAAUCAAACUUUAUUGUAAAAGGGGUUCACAAAAGAUGAGCUGACACAAAUCCAUGCACCAUGUUUCUCUUUCCAUUGGAUUUUUUUUUCCUCUCAGAUCUUCUUCCCAAAAAAAAGAAGAUCUGUAUACCUUUUCUUAGGGACCUUAGGGUUGAGUGAUUAGCAUAUUCAAAUCUAACUUGAAAUGAAAGAAAUUACCAAGUCAACUGAAUCCACUUUGGUAUGAUUUAAGAUUGGUUUAUAGGUUCAAUUUGGUUCGGUCAAAUUGAUUUGAUCAUUGUAAUAAGAAUCUUAAAAUAGGAUUAUCAAAUCGUGUAGUUUCCUUUGGAUCAAUAUUCCAUGGAAUUUAUUCACGUUUUUUGGUCGAGGAAAAUUAAUCCAAAAUCUACCAUCAUUUUGAUUUUGAUAUAACGAACUCAUUUUCUUAUAUUGACGAAAUUCGCCUACCAGUCUUUGAUAGAAUCAUAUCGAUUUGAUCAAAUACAUGCAUGCAUAUGGAGAAAAUUAACAAACAAAACAAAUGUGAGGUUAUUUUCAGUUCUUGUGGGUACACAAUGUAGGACAUCGCAAAUGAGACUUGAGAGUACCUAAAUGAAUCAUUUUUCUUCAUCACAUACAUACUACAAGAAAAUAAACAAUACCAUCACCGUGAGCAAUAUUUAUGUCGCCAUAUAAUCUUUAAUAUGUUUCCAAAUAAAUUGAAGAUAGCAAUACAUAUGGUGAUAGACAACGACGGAACCAACCAUUCACGUGCUAAUUUUUUUUGUCACCAUCGAUGAGAGAGAUGAUCAGAUGAACAGUACUAUUUUUCUCACUAAUGGUAAGACCUUACGUCAAGAUUAUUCGGUAGGGAAAAUCAGAUAUGCAACGUUUUUGAAUAUCAAAGAGAAGUCGGAAAAAAAAAUGACUUCUUUGUAUAUAUCAAUCACAUCGAACGUGAGACUAAACCACUUACCACGCUUAUAAGUUUCUUACUUAUAACAAUAAUGUUUCACUUGUGCUUUUAACAAAAAAUAAACAACAAUGUUUCAAAAAAAAAGUUGUGAUCCGAUUUAGUAGGUACGGUGAUGUAUGCGUUUUUAUCAAUUAAUAAUCUAAAUGCAUCAACGAUCUAUCGCGAAAGUAUUUUAGAUGUCGAACCACAAGGAAUAAAGAUUGCAACACUAAAGAUGCGAGAUUCAAACUAAUCUAGAGGAAAUGAUUUUUAGGUUUUUGUUUUGAUGAAAAGAUAAGAAAUCCAAGAAGUAAAAUAAAGAAAAAGCAUUGGACCAUGGGUUUAACUAUCAUGAGAAUUGAUUAACAUUCAAACAAUGAUGCAAGAGGUUGAAUUAAGCACCAUCCUAGAACAUGAAACUCACAAUUAUGAUAAAUCCACUUCCAUGGUACUAAUCACUUCACUAAUCAUAUAAUCAUCAACAACUUCCGUUCCCAAUCAAAUGACCAAUGAGCAUUAAAAACAAGUCCAAUUAGUUCACUAAACACUCUAUUCAUCAACUCCCGUUGGCUAGAUAUGUAAAGCUCAUAAAGGUUUGGUUCAAGCAUUUUCACAAACACCUUCCGGGCAUGAAUUGCAUAAGGUCUAGAUUUUGAGUGAUCAAGUCAAAACUAGCAUUAAGAGCAACCUAGAUGAAGGAUCUAACAAUAAGCAGCCUAAAUCAUCAUCAUCUAACCAUCAAAUUAUCCUAAUCUAGCAUAACCCAUUAUCCAACAAAAAGACUAGCUACUAAACAUGGUGAAAGAUAAAAAAAAAAUGCGUAACAUAAAGAUACAAGAUAAAGAUGAAGAAUCCUUCACUAAAGUGGCAUGAAUUGUUGAAGAUCAAUCCAAAAUAUCAAGAAGAGAGUUUGGAUCCUAAUCCAACUCUAGAGAAGAAAACUUAGGUUACAAAAUGUCUAAAAAUUGCUUAAAUACAAAAUAGAAUCGAACCGGAUUGACCCGAGAUAAACCGGGUCAAACCCAAAAAUUUGCAAAGGCUUCUAUAGAUGCAUAGGUCGAUUGCUCCCUCGAUUGCUUCUCGUCUGCAGCCUGUUAUCGUCCCAAUCGACCAUUAAAUCGACCAACAGGUCGAUUGAAAUGUUCAGUGACUCCUCCUUUGUUCUUUUCCGCGCCUGAGUGAUAUAUCUCUAUUAAAACCACCAUAAUUCUUGCAUCGAAGCUCUGAUUCGCUUGAAAUCACCUCCGUUGGAAAUAUAACUCAAUUUCCUAUAACUUGUAUGAAGAGUUCUGAAGCUAAAUCAUCAAUUCUCUUCUUUGCAUCCAAAUGUGUGUCGUCCAUUAUUUUAACCUGAAAUUGCUCAAAAGACACACAAAACACACCAAAAGACACACAAAGACACUAUAGGACUUUUAAAAUGGAAGAAGACUCACUUGGACACUAAAUGCAACAAAACACAAUUAAAAUAUUAAUGAAACACAAUAAAAUGGAUCUUAACAACAACGAUAAAGCGGUAAAUAUAAAGUAUAUCAUAUGGCUAGAACAGCAUCGCUAGUGUUUGGAUAGAAAAAAUAAAUGUUCGAUUUAAACGUGUUGAACUCUUCAGAUAUCCCAAAUUCCCAAUCCUAUAAAUAUUGUUGGUAUGGUCCAUGUGGUUACAACAAAACGGUCAAAAUAUCAAGUAUAUAGUAGUUAAAAAAUGGCUGAUGAAGUUAUUAGAUAUAUUCCAUUACAGUUUUUUUAUCAGUUAAAUCAACUGAAACAAAGUUCUUAGAAUUGUUUUUUUUCUAGAUUAGUCAUAUAUUUAGAAUUUGUGUGGUACGCCCUAGCUAGCUGGUGCGGCUAUGCAUUACAGCUACACAAGUUAUUUUUUUCGGUGAAUGAGAACACAGACAUGCAAAUCCACUUAAAGUCAAAACUAUUCGAAACCUAAAAUUUCGGACAGUAAAUUCGAAAUACAAAUUAUAACCUGACAAAACAUGUAAGUUGUCAAAGACUAGUUGAAAAACAAAUGAAAACCAAGCAAAAAAAUUGUUUAAAUUCAGAGACAAAUAGUCAUAUAGGUAAUGUCAGAAGCAGACAGAAGAUUGUACAUUGAAAUCAAGCACAGCAAAAAGCAUUAUUGUUCACACACAUGUGUACAGACAUACACACGUGUACAUUCACACGUGCACACAUACAUAGGAAUCUCCACCUCUAUAUAAGAAAUGCUUCAACAUAAGUAUACUUGUAAGUGUGUGAAGCUUAAGUAAUAAAAUUAAUGGCAACUUCAGGGUUUAAGCAUUUGGUGGUUGUGAAGUUUAAGGAAGAUGCUAAGGUUGAUGAGAUCUUGGAGGGCUUGGAGAAUCUUGUUUCUCAGAUUGAUACUGUCAAAUCCUUUGAAUGGUUUGUGAUCAUUGUUUUUUUUUUUCUUUCUAUAAUUAAAAUAAUAUUUUGGAUCUCUAGCUAGUUAAUGACCGUACGAUUUGAUGAUAACUAGGGGAGAAGAUAAAGAGAGUCACGAGAUGCUUAGACAAGGAUUCACUCACGCAUUUUCAAUGACCUUUGAGAACAAAGAUGGUUACGUUGCCUUUACAAGCCAUCCUCUUCACGUUGAAUUCUCAGCCGCUUUCACCGCCGUUAUCGACAAGAUUGUUCUCCUGGAUUUCCCGGUCGCCGCCGUCAAAUCUUCCGUUGUUGUAACACCUUGAAUCUUGUGUUCAUAUCGAACUUGUUUCCUAAUGUAAACGAGGUUUGAGUUGUUUGGUUAUGUAACUCGGUUGGUUAAGUAUGUUUUGGUUUGAUUUGUUUAGUUUCGGUUUUUGAUAAUAAGAAUCUGGUUUUGUUGGAACUUGGAAGUUUAUGAUUUCUUUUAUAAGUAAGUGUUUUCUUAAAGUGAAAAUGGUAAUACUGAAUUAUGUUUUCAUGUGAGUAAUGUGUCUCUUUUUGCUUCAAAUAUAAUUUAUCAGAAUAAACAAAUAGAAAAUAUGAAACUUUACAUUAUAAAAUUUUGGGAAAACCAAUUAAUAAUCAACAAAUAGUUUGUUAUUUCCAUAAAUAUGCAUAAACGGUUUGAGAUUCUAUAUUAAAAUACACGAAAAAUAAAAACAUUUUUAUAAUACACUCAUCAUAUUGCAUGUGUUUUACACAUUCAACUGAAACAAAAAUUAGAUGUAAUUGGAAAUAUCAUUAACAAACAAAAGAAACAACUACAAAACGACGCCGCAUUUAGAUCCUUUUUUUGGUUAACCUUUAAUAACGGACAAUUUGUAGUCUUUGAACCAGAGAAAUUAUUAAGGCCCAUCAGCCCAAAUAAAAAUAUCAAAAGUUUUUGUUCUGUUCCUCGAGUCAUGUUUGCAUCGCACGCGACUCUUCGUCGGAUCUUCCCAACACACAAAACCCUUAACUCUUUUCACUUUUUAUUGAUUUUCUCGGUCUUUGUACGCGCAAAAUCGAGAUUCUGAUUAUCUGUCACUGAAAUUCGGAAGAAUUCGAGGUCUUCACUGCCAGUAAAUUUGAUGGAGGAAAGGGAAGCGAAAAGAAUAUGCCUCGAACGGCGGGCAGGUUUCUCAAGAGCAAAAGAGGAUCUGAUAAGCAAAUUACCCGACUCUUUGAUAACUCAGAUACUCUUGUAUCUCCCGAUAAAGAAAGCUGUUAGGACUUGUGUUUUGUCCAAGAGGUGGGAAAGUAUCUGGCUUUCGAUUCCCUGGUUGGAUUUAGACUCUGAAGAGUUCCCAAAUUACAAAGCCUUUGUGAUUUUUAUGGACAGAUUCGUAGAUUUCUCUAGGGAACAGAAAUCAUGCUUGCACAAGCUCAAGCUAAGUAUUCAGAAGAUUUGGAGUGAUCAGUAUCGUAUCACGCGAUGGAUAGACUUUGUUGCUACACGUAAACUUCAGCAUCUUGAUGUUGAGUGUCUUUUUGUGAAGCGUGAGUGUUUUGAAGUGAUGCCCUUAAGCCUUUAUAUCUGUGAGACGCUUAUUACCCUAAGACUUCAUCGGAUAUAUUUGGAUAGUUUUGAGUCUGUUUCAUUACCUCGUCUCAAGACUAUGCAUUUAGAACUCAAUGUAUAUGACAAUGAUGCGGGUCUGGAGUCACUCAUUUCAUCUUGCCCAGUUCUUGAAGAUUUGAGCAUUGUUAGAAGUGUGGAUUACAAUGAUAAUGUGAACGUUUUACGAGUGCAUUCUCAAACAUUGACAAGUCUAAGUGUAGAAUUUGAUCUUGGUGAGUGGGGUCUAGGGCUUUUCUGUUUUGGUCAAAGAGACCUGGGGCUUUGGAUUGAUGCCCCUAGACUCAAGUAUUUGAAUUUCAAACAUGAACUAUCGGAUAGUAAAACCGUAAGCAAUUUGAAUUCCUUAGUUAAGGUCAAUUUUGUUGGCUCCUUUCGUAUCUCUGAUGGAGGUCGCUUAUCAAAGCAACAAAUGGCCCGUAACUUUUUCAUCGGUAUCUCGAAAGUUAGGGAUCUGAACAUCUCUGCACAUAUUCUUGAGGUAUGUUUCUAAUGAACUUUCAUAUUAUAUGUAAUGCUAUUUAACGAAAUUUUGCUCAGCCAUACUCUUCUCUUCUUCGUUUUUAUAUGAGCAGCUAAUCAAUUGCUACUUGAAAGUAGAACCAUUACCCCAAUUUUUCAACCUGUCCUAUUUGGAAGCAGAAUUUUGUUCAUCCGAUGUGAAGAUUCUUGAAUCCUUGCAAACGCUUCUUGAAAGCUGUCCAAAUCUAAAAUCCAUCGUCUUGGUAAUGACUUGUACCAACCCUAGAGCUUUAACUUAAUUAUACAUUUAAAGAAAUAUGUUAUCUAGUAUAUUAAUUCAUCUUAUUUUGUAGGAUUUAACUGAUUCUACUACGGUCGAUACGAGCCAAACAAGAGUCCCUUUUGUGCCUCAGUGUUUGUUGUCAUCGCUCGAGUUUGUAGAUAUAAGAGGAAAAUUCAUGGCAGAGCCUGUUGCAGUGGAACUAGCAAGGUACUUUGUAGAAAACUCAGUAAUCCUCAAGAAAAUUGUUAUGCGUUUGGGAUAUUUCAUGCCAGGAGAAGAAGAUUCCGUCGCCUUAAAGGAUCUCCUUGCAACUCCAAGGCGUUCUAGCACGUGUCAAAUCGAAGUUUGUGAACCGCUAAAUUUUUUUGAUUAUGUUGAUUUCUUUUAAUCGUCAUCGUGAGCUUCGGCUACACUGAGGCCAAACUGUUUUUAUGUAAUAAGUGACUAAAUUAAAGUUGGGACAUAAAAUAAUUGUGAUUCUCUGUAUUACGAGAAGACUCUUUAUAUAUCCCUCCUGCGCUUCACCAAAGGGUUGAUAUCUUCAACUAUCAUACUCUCUCAUCUCCUCAGCGCAUCAAGAAAGACCUUUUACUCCUUAAUUAAGAGGCAGAAAACAAUAUACGAGCUGUAGAAAGAAAGAAUCGUCGUUUUUACAAUUCUUCAAGUUACACAACAAGAGCCCCAGCCUAAUAAUUUUUAGCCUAGGGCAAAACAAAGGUUUUUGGGCCUUCAAUAAAUUUAUACAAAAAUAUAAUGAUAUUUGGAUCUCAUUUAGAUUAAAAAUUUAAUUAUUUGGGGUCUAAUUUACAUAAUUUUCUUUGAAAAAGCUUUUGUUUCUAUCAAAUAUAUUGUUUUGUGGACUUAAUUGUUUAUUUUUCCUUUAGAAUACACUUUUUUAUAAUAAAAAAAAAAAAAAAAAACCUUUUUGAAAUAGUGAUAAGUCCAUUGGCUGCUGCCUCUCCGUACUACCCAUUUGGGCCGGACCUGCACAUCAAUUCAGGUCUUCAACACAAAUGAUGGUACUACUAAGAACAGAACUUCAUCCUUUAGUCAAUUGAUCCAAGAUUGGCUUCACAACUUCUUAAAAACUGGUUCAAUGAUAUAUAUAUAUAUAUAUACAAGUCCAAGGUGCUUAAACUACCAAAGGUUAACUUUGAAUAUUUUAAUUAUAAAAAUUAUACAACUCACAAAGAUUCUUUGUUGAGAUUGAUGAUGUUUCUUGUUUUCAAAGACUUAUUCUUUUUGAACAUUGUGCAUUUUCUUUUAGUUAAUCGAAAAUAAUUAUAAAAAAUCAACGAUUUAUGUACUUUUAUCGAAAUAAUUGAUUAGUGAGUUUAACCAGAAAAAUUAUUUAAAAUUGGGAAAGAAAGAAAUUAUUGGGCCUUUUGACCCAAUUAAAGAAACGAUUAACCAUUAGCGAGGGAAACAAUCGAGUAUGGAAAAAAAAAGAAAAUAACAGAUUUGAUAAUCCCUUAGCAAAUAAGUUUUUAAGAAAAAUUAAAGACUAGGUCAUAAUUUGCUUUCAUAGUUUUGUUGUUCUUUAUCAUAAUUGAUAAUUUUAGAUAACUUUUUAUCAUGUUUAUAUGAUCUCUUAUGUUUGUAUGAUCUAAACGUAAUAAAUGAAAAAUGUUACUGUAAAAAUCAACGAAAGAUAAGCUCUUAAGUGUCAUUUGACAAGUGUAAUCGAGUUAAAAAGGUGCCCAAAUUGUUUGUUUAGUAGUACCAUCAUUUGUGCCAAUCUUGACCCAAAGAUCAUUAUCUCGUUACAUCGCAAGCUACUCUCCGGAUCUCCCAACGCACGAACCCUUGCUAGAUCCAUCUGGUAAUAUAAUAUCACCUUCUUCUUCCUCACUCAAUUCUGGAUUUGUUUACGUUUAUUCUCGGUUCAUGAUGAUUUGUUUGCGUUAGAUUUCUAGGUUUUGCGAGAGGAUCCGAUGGAGGCAAAGAACGAGAAAAGAAUAUGCCUCGAACGGCCUGCAAGGGAAGAUCUGAUAAGCAAAUUACCCGAUGCUUUGAUAUCUCAGAUACUCUCGUAUCUUCCGACAAAGGAUAUUGUCAGGACUAGUGUUUUGUCCAAGAGGUGGAAAAGAGUCUGGCUUUUGAUUCCCGGGUUGGAUUUGGACUCUUAUGAGUUCCCAGAUUACAAUACCUUUGUGAGUUUUGUGAACAAGUUCCUAGAUUUCUCUAGGGAACAGAAGUCAUGCUUGCACAAGCUCAAGCUAGAUAUUCACAAGGAUCAUGAGAAUGAUCAGUCUUGUGCCACGCCUUGGAUAGACUUUGUUGCUAGGGGUAACCUUACACAUCUUGAUGUUGAAUUUGGUGGUUAUGCACUGUGGCGUGAGUUUUGGGAAAUGAUGCCCGUAAGCCUCUAUAUCUGUGAGACGCUCCUUCACUUAAGACUCUAUCGGGUGUUGAUGGGUAACUUUGAGUCUGUUUCUUUACCUCGUCUUAAGACUUUGUGUUUAGAACGAAAUAUAUAUCCUAAUGAGGCGAGUGUGGAGUCGCUUAUCUCGUCUUGCCCCGUCCUCGAAGAUUUGACCAUUGUUAGGAUGAAUGAUAAUGUAAAGGUUUUACGAGUGUAUUCUCAAUCAUUAACCAGUUUUAGUGUAGGAUAUAAUCCUGGUGACUUAAUUCGUAAGUACAAUUAUUAUUCUGAAAAAGUUAGAGAGAACUCGGGGCUUGUGAUUGAUGCACCUAGACUCAAGUAUUUGACUUUCAACUACGAAAGAUCGAAAAGUAAAAUCGUAAGAAAUUUGAGUUCUUUAGUUAAGGUCAACGUUCUUAGCGCCUUUGAUAUUUCAAGUGUAGUUGGCUGUUCAGAGCAACAAAUGGCCCAUAAUUUUUUCACCGGUAUCUCGAGAGUUAGGGAAAUGAUCAUCUCUCAGAAUAUGAUGGAGGUAAGUUUCUAUGAACUUCAUAUUAUAUAUAUUCUGCUAUAUAGAACAUUUGCUAACCCAUAGUCUUCUCUUCGUUUCCUUUUUGCAAGUAGAGAAUAUUUUCCUACUUGAGUGUAGAUUCAUUGCCACAGUUUUGCAACUUGUCCUAUUUGAAAGGAAACGUUUGUUCAACAUCCGUGACAUUCCUGGACGUCUUUACAAAGCUUCUUGAAAGCUGUCCGAAUUUAAAAUCCAUCGUCUUGGUAAUGACUUGCACCAAGUCACCAACCCUAGAGUUUCAAAUUAAUCAUGCAAUUAGAGAAAUCUUGUUAUAACCAGUAUAUUAACUCAUCUUAUGUAUUUUGUAGGUUUUAACUUGUUUUACUGAUUAUACGGACGAAAUGGUUGAAAUGAGAGUCUGGUCCGUGCCUAAGUGUUUGUUGUCAUCGCUCGAGUUUGUAGAGAUAAAAAACGAAUACGAAGCAGAUGAUGGUGUGUUGGAAGUUGCAAGGUACUUUGUAGAGAACUCUAUAAAUCUCAAGAAACUUGUUCUGCAUUUGCAAUAUUCCUUUCUAAAACAAGGAAAUCCAGCUAUCUUAAAGGAUCUCAUUGCAUUGCCGAGGCGAUCUAGCAUGUGUCAAAUCGAAGUUUUCAAUGUGCAUAACGGCCGUGCUCUUGGAAUCUUUUGAUGUUCUUGAAUUCUAUUAAGAUGCCAUUGUGAGCUUCGGCCACAAUAUUUUAGAAUUCGCAUUUUUUUUUUUAUGUAAUGACUAAAAAUUGGGAGAUAUGUACAAAGAUUUGUGAUUCUCUCUCAAGUGCCGGAUCUAGCAUAUUCUUCUGUUAACUCUAAAAGAUUUGUGUAUUUUUCUAGUAUUUCAUAUAUAGUUGCCUAGUUGGUUUUUUUUUUUUUUUUUGCCAAUACUGUGCCUAGUUGGUUUGUUUUUAGAGGAUUUUAUUUUUGCUAUUAUCUUCUUCUUUUCUCAUUGAAGCAAAUAUUUCAAAAUUGAAUUAAUCUAGUGGACACUGAACCUAUGUACGGACCAUCUUCCUGGACUACCGUUGUAAUAGCUGAGCCAUUCUUUUAGUGAGGUAAAGGUAGUUAAAAAUCAUCUACUCUUUAUCCUUCCUAUGCUUCGCCAAUGGGUUCAUACCUUCAACUACCUUACUCUCCUAUCU